Molecule: ribosomal RNA, 505 nt
Filed under: uncultured Salarchaeum sp.
Lineage: Archaea; Methanobacteriati; Methanobacteriota; Halobacteria; Halobacteriales; Halobacteriaceae
Description: bacterial SSU rRNA
Rfam family: Archaeal small subunit ribosomal RNA
Source: RNAcentral
CUACGGGGCGCAGCAGGCGCGAAACCUUUACACUGCACGACAGUGCGAUAAGGGAACUCCGAGUGCGAGGGCAUAGAGCCCUCGCUUUUGUGUACCGUAAGGUGGUACAGGAACAAGGGAUGGGCAAGACCGGUGCCAGCCGCCGCGGUAAUACCGGCAGCCCAAGUGAUGACCGAUAUUAUUGGGCCUAAAGCGUCCGUAGCUGGCCGCGCAAGUCCGUUGGGAAAUCUGCUCGCUUAACGAGCAGGCGUCCAGCGGAAACUGUUCGGGUUGGGACCGGAAGACGGGAGGGGUACGUCCGGGGUAGGAGUAAAAUCCUGUAAUCCUGGACGGACCACCGGUGGCGAAAGCGCCUCAGGAGGACGGAUCCGACAGUGAGGGACGAAAGCUAGGGUCUCGAACCGGAUUAGAUACCCGGGUAGUCCUAGCUGUAAACGAUGCCCGCUAGGUGUGGCGCAGGCUACGAGCCUGCGCUGUGCCGUAGGGAAGCCGAGAAGCGGGCCGC